CCCCUCUCAGGGUUGUACCUGUAGAGUUUCCAGUACUCUACCAGUCUCAAAUACCAGAGGGAGAGUCAAGCAGAGGCCUACCCAUUCCAUUCCUAGCUUGGGCAGUGGCUAGCGAGUGGAAGGCAAUCUGCCAAAAGU
RNAcentral lists this small nucleolar RNA (138 nucleotides) under Ornithorhynchus anatinus (platypus). Lineage: Eukaryota; Metazoa; Chordata; Mammalia; Monotremata; Ornithorhynchidae. The record is from RNAcentral.